This 259-nucleotide ribosomal RNA is filed under the name uncultured bacterium. RNAcentral's name for it is "partial small subunit ribosomal RNA". It matches the Rfam family "Bacterial small subunit ribosomal RNA", at positions 26 to 285 of the family's 1533-position model. The record is from RNAcentral.
AGGACGAACGACUGGCGGCGGUGCUUAACAACAUGCAAGUCGAGCGGAAAGGCCCUUCGGGGGUACUCGAGCGGCGAACGGGUGAGUAACACGUGAGCAACCUGCCCUUAGCUCUGGGAUAGCUCCGGGAAACCGGAAUUAAUACCGGAUAUGACCUAGGCCGACAUCGGCCGUGGUGGAAAGUUUUUCGGCUAGGGAUGGACUCGCGGCCUAUCAGCUAGUUGGUGGGGUAAUGGCCUACCGAAGGCGACGACGGGUA